GGUGAGUAUAGCUCAGAGGUAGAGCUCCGGAUUGUGGUUCCGGCUGUCGUGGGUUCGAGCCCCACUACUCACCC
RNAcentral lists this transfer RNA (74 nucleotides) under Candidatus Parakkermansia intestinavium. Its description in RNAcentral is "tRNA-His". It matches the Rfam family "tRNA". From Rfam's summary of the family: Transfer RNA (tRNA) molecules are approximately 80 nucleotides in length. Their secondary structure includes four short double-helical elements and three loops (D, anti-codon, and T loops). Lineage: Bacteria; Pseudomonadati; Verrucomicrobiota; Verrucomicrobiia; Verrucomicrobiales; Akkermansiaceae. The record is from RNAcentral.